UUGUUGAGGAUCCUUCAGAAGCAUAACUGCC
This 31-nucleotide non-coding RNA is filed under the name Rattus norvegicus (Norway rat). The record is from RNAcentral. Lineage: Eukaryota; Metazoa; Chordata; Mammalia; Rodentia; Muridae.